GACGAACGCUGGCGGCGUGCUUAACACAUGCAAGUCGAACGGAAAGGCCCUGCUUGCAGGGUACUCGAGUGGCGAACGGGUGAGUAACACGUGGGUGAUCUGCCCUGCACUUCGGGAUAAGCCUGGGAAACUGGGUCUAAUACCGGAUAGGAGCCAUUUUUAGUGUGAUGGUUGGAAAGUUUUUUCGGUGUAGGAUGAGCUCGCGGCCUAUCAGCUUGUUGGUGGGGUAAUGGCCUACCAAGGCGGCGACGGGUAGCCGGCCUGGGGGGGUGGACGGCCACAUUGGGACUGAGAUACGGCCCAGACUCCUACGGGGGGCAGCAGUGGGGAAUAUUGCACAAUGGGCGCAAGCCUGAUGCAGCGACGCCGCGGGGGGGAUGACGGCCUUCGGGUUGUAAACUCCUUUCGCUAGGGACGAAGCUUUUUGUGACGGUACCUAGAUAAGAAGCACCGGCUAACUACGUG
This 465-nucleotide ribosomal RNA is filed under the name uncultured bacterium. RNAcentral's name for it is "partial 16S ribosomal RNA". It matches the Rfam family "Bacterial small subunit ribosomal RNA", at positions 28 to 507 of the family's 1533-position model. The record is from RNAcentral.